UGUCCAUUCUCUGUUGUCUAUAUACCCACUGUGGCCUGGUCAAACUCCUAGUGGCCAGCCCUACAAAGGAAACUGAGACUUUCUCCUUCACCCCCUUUAGAAGUCAUCACCUGUAGAGAGCUGUACCGCAGUAUCCCCAACACUUUUUUUUCAGUUCUCCUUGAUGGCUUCCUCUUUAGGCUGUCGCUUUUUUGGGGAAUGGGGUGGAGGUUGGAGUUUUCACAGGAGCCUUUUACAUUCCUCUUUCUCAACUGUGCUUCAGCAAUCAUUAAUAACAUUGCAAAAGUAGCUUCCUUGCCAUUCACAGUCAUCAGGAGCACCGGUCGAUCCUAGGCUUCCGCAUGGUUUCUAAAAAGAUCAUGGACUGUAAACAUCCACUUGGUCUCCAGCAUCCUCCUGUGCCAAGGACCACUGCUUCCGGUGGCAGUAUGGCCUGUGCCUAUCAAGACAGUGCUCUGACAAAGCAUGGGCCCCUGACCAGCAUGGCCUCCGGGAGAAGCAUAGACCAUGGAGGUCUUUUGAGGAAGUCCAAUCCAGUAAGUGGACCAUUCUUCCUCUUGGACAUCCUGUCGCUGUUCAGAGACUGUGUGACUGGGCGGCUUGUUUGGGGGUUGAGUCUGCACCAGCUCCAGGCUGUUGCAUACCAUGUUGGGGUGGUUGGGUUCACAUACUUGCUCCUCUAUCAACUCCAGCUGGCAGCUGUUUUGUACUCAGAGUCUUUGUAGCUUUUCACCACUGAGAGUCUUCUCUGCAGGUUAGCUUUACUUCCUCAGAGAGGAACUCUCAGCUUUGCUUAUUCUGCCAGAGAGGGCCCUAGUGAAUCUGGUCUGUUUCAGGGACUUCCUGAAGCUAUUUAUUUUGAGUUGUUUACCUUUCUCCUUAAGGAGCUUCCCUGCAGGAUAGAAUGUUUCACAGCAGUUACCCAGGAUUCUGUGUCCCUGGGACCAAACGUUGUAGCUAAGCAACUUAAAAGGAGAUAAGGUCAGUCUGGGUCCAUGGCUUCUCAGGGUCCAUGGUUCUCAUGGGGAAGGUAUUUCACAACUCACACUGUCCUGGUAGAGGAAUAGAGGAAGAGGAUGGGGCAGGAUCUAGCCUUCCCCCAAUGACCUACUUCCCCAGUGACCUACUUCCCUCAGUGACCUACUUUCCCCAGUGACCUAACAACCCAGUGACCUACUUUCUCCAGCCAGGCUUUUAUCAUGGACCAAUGAUGCUGUUACAUUCUAAGUCCAUCAGGAUGAAUCCAUUCACAUCAGAGUGUCCAUGUUCCAUUGGAUCCUUGAGACAGUCUCACAGAAACCAGCAGAAGUACAGGUCCUUCUCAGGGCAAUCAAUGCAAUUAUCCACCACACCUAGGGUGUGCAGAAGGAUACAACUGUCAUGUGUUCUCUGGUCUUGGUUAAUUUGUCAUUUAGAACUUGAGCUCACGGGUGGAGAAGGACUCUCCCGACUCUAGGGCUCUCUAGGUGGUUAUCAGCACGUUCCUGGCAGCUCUCUCCUGGUCUUAUAUCUUCACCAGAAGAAUGGGUGUGAAGUGUGUUCUCAUGCAUGCAAGACCCAGCUGGGGAAGCAAAUGUCAGUGCGACUGUGUGUAGCUGGCAGGCGAGGACAUCAGUUGGAGAGGCCAGUUGAUAUGAGAGCCUUGCAGACUCUUGAUUCCGGUAGGUGUGGGCACCCCAGAGGACCACCGGCAUGUGGAAUACUGUUUUCACACCAGUCCGAAGACAUCAGUCACCACCUCCACUGUCUUAAGUUGCUCCCCCCCCAACCCCCCGGCAGAGGGAGUGUUGUGUUAUGUGUACAGAUGGGUGAAAGAGAACCUGGCAUGGGCCCACAGGCCAGGGGUUAAGUUUUAGUUUGCAAUCUUUUUUUUAAAGAUUUAUUUAUUUUUUUUAAUGCAUGAGUAUUUGCUGUCUUCAGACACACCAGAAAAGGGCAUCAGAUCCCAUUACAGAUGGUUGUGAGCCACCACGUGGUUGCUGGGAUUUGAACUCAGGACCUCUGGAAGAGCAGACAGUGCUCUUAACCGCUGAGCCAUCUCCCCAGCCCCUAGUUUGCAAUCUUGAUGUUGCAGCCUAGUGUCCGGAGUUACUGAUAGCCACUAUACUCCCAUAGUUAGCUCCAUUUGGUGGCAUGAUCCCGUGCCACGCGUGAAAGAGAUGCUGUUCAAUCCAUCGGGGAGAUGUCUACUGACAGGCUGGCCUCCUAGAACUGAAAAUCAGGAGGGCCCCAUUCAUGAAGUCAGGGGCUCCCUGGGGCAUCUAGUAGGCUCCGUGUAUGAGACAAGGAUGAAGAGCAUCCUUAAGGGACAAGGAUGGGGUUCAUGGGUUCCUCAUUGGUCUGGGACAUCUCAACCCAGUCAUUUCUGCAAGUGUCACGAGAAGAGGAGGGGACUUUAUAAAUGUGGGUCCGCCCCACCCCCUGCUUUUCAGGGUGUUCCUGUUUCUCUCGAGGUGCCUUGCACUCUGUUCAACCCUUCCCCUGUGCUAACCCAUCCCCUGUUUUGCCCCUAGGAGAUAAGGACCUCUAUGGACUCCUUUCUUUCGCGUUUGUGGCUACUGAGGCACAGAUAGGUUACCUGGUUGCCAUGGUAACUUGGUGGGCAGCAGUCGUCCUGGGUUGCCUUCUCCUGCUGUAAUAGACACCACAACCGAAAGCGGCCUGAGGAACAGUUUAUUUCAUCUUUCGGUUUACAGUCCAUCAUGGAGGAAGUCAGGACACAAGCUCAAAGAAGGAGCGGAAGCCUGGGCCAUGAGGGAUGCUGCUUACUGGCUUGCUUUCCCGGCAAGUUCUACCUGCUUUUCGUAUACAAGCCAGACCCAUCUGCCUUGGGUAGCGACGUCCACAGUGGGCGGCGCCCUCCCAUAUCAAUCAUUAACCAAGAAACUGCCCCCACAGACUUGUCUAUAGGUCAUUCUGGGGGAGGUAAUCCCUCAGCUGAGGCUCCCUCUUCUCAGGUGGGUUCUCAGGUUUGUUUCAUGUUGAGAAACACCAAUCAGAACAGUAGUUGACUGGCAUUUCACCCCUGGCACCUCGACCCGAGAUGUGUGCUCACCCUCCCUCCACCAACGCUGAUCUGAACUUUGCUAUCUGCUAAGGAUGAGAAAGUUGUCGUGCCCUGUUGUGACUGCCCUGUAUGCGUAUGACCUUGUACUGACCACCCCAGGCUCUCCCUCCCAGAAUUCCCUCCUCCUUUUGCAAAAACAUUCUGACGUUUUCAGACGCCAUCUUGCCUCACGAGCAUGCGCAGUCAAAAUGUGCUGUCUUUGCAUGGCAGACGCCAAAGGACUCCCAAAGACAUUUGAAUGGGAAAUGUCCCACAUAGAUUCAUAUAUAUUGGAACUUAUGGCCCCCCAGUCAGCGGCACUUUUGAGGGAGAUUAAAGGAAGUAUGGUGUUGGGAGCAGGCUUUGAAGGUAUAUAGCCCCACCUCUCUUUCUGUUAUCCCCUCCCCCCUCUCCCAGCCCCCUAGCUUCCCGACUGCCAGGCUGGCCUCAAGCUGCUCCUCCUGUGCUCCCUUGCUGUUACAGAAUCCCUCCCUCUGGAACCAUUAGCCAGGGGUCAACCCUUUCUUCCUUAAGUUGCUUUUGCUGCUGGUAUUUUAUCAGAACAAAACCAAAGUAACUAAUAUGUAUCACUUCCAGAACCUUCUCAUUCCAUUGCCGUCCAACAUGGGCAAAUUACCGGUGUGUUUGGAGAUGAAGUGUCCCCCAAAAGACCCUUGUUGAGGGCUUAGACCCCAGCAGGUCAGACUAAGCUGGGGGGAUCAGCUCUGCCCUGAGCCUGCCGUGAUUGAGCUAUGACCCGAUCAAUCGAUCAAUCGAUGGAUCACUGAUUUUGAACAGGCUUGCUGCACCAUAUCCUCCGAAGUACCCUGCCCCCAUGCUAUUCUGUUCUACCGUGGACCCUGCUGACCAGGAAACCGCAUCUCUGAAUCAAUGAGUCAAAGAAGACUUCCCUUCAUUCUUAAGUAGUUUUUCUUUGGGCAGCACAGUGAACACCGUCCGAAGACAGUGGUUCCUCCUGGAUGCUCCACAUGCGGACACUAGUAGCACUGGCUGUCCAAGUGUCUCUGCGGGAGUGCAUGGAGUCCUUUGGGUUUAUGCCCAGGAGGAGCCUCACUGGGUCAUACGGUCUUCGUUUUCGUUACUUGGCUAGUUUGUGCUUGUGGCACGAUUCUGGUCUUCCUCUAGGUUAAAGGCAGAUGUUGGAACAUAAACAGACAGAUGAGAUGCUUGUAUGCUCAAGAUGUGGACAGGUAGACCCCGGCAAAAGCCCAGGAAACUCUCCUCUCACAGAAAAGUUCUGUGCCCCUGGCUCCUGUUUUGGGAACCCCGUGUGGUUGACUUUCUGACUGUGCUCCAGAGAGAGCCAACACAGCAGUUUCAGAUACUUUCCCUUUACACUUUUGCGGGCCGUUCCGUGUUCAGCCGAGAGUUUAAGAUUAAUGGCCGCACGGAAGUUGCUAGGCCUGGGCACUCUGCUGAAAUACGCUGAAUUCGACUCUCUCCACACCCCCGUUCUGCUUAAAGAUGGCUAAACCUGGUAGUUGUCGUCAUCGACAGUCCCUAAGAUGACGUAGCAGCUCUGCCCUGAGCCUGAAAGGAGUUGAGGGUUGCAGGCCCAGUAAAUGUGUCUCGGUCAUCAAGCUAGCAUUUCCAAACAAAGGGACUGAAUAAGGAAAGCGUGAUGGGCGGUUGAAGGCUUGAUGUUCCCUGAGAAGAAAAGGAUGUCUUAAAGGCAGAGCCACAGAAUUUCACUCAAGUCGGAAAGGAGAGCCGUUGAAAAGAGCACGCUGAUUUAAAGGACUGUAUUCUUAGCACAGUCGAUUUUAUCUGCAGCAAAAUCCGAGACACAGCAUUUUCUGGAAAUAGGUCAAAUUCUGAGUGUUUUGUAUACAUGGCGUACUUCACUAGAGGGCGCCAUUGAGUUGUGUAUUUAACAUUUUCUUUCUUCCUUUCUUUCUUUCUUUCUUUCUUUUUUUUUUUUUUUUACAAAAAUAAUAAUAAAAAUGACGAUGGCCCGGGCUAUGAAUUCUGAUACAAUUCUUGUUGAACAUGUUUUGAGAAUUCCUCACAGACAUUAUUUUUUAUUUUUCGGCUUCUAUGUGUGAAAUUCCAUUUUAAGAAGUAUAACAUAACCCCGAAUCCGUCAGUACGUGGGAAGUCCCGCCGGCAUGCUGGCAUGACAGAGGCAAAAGACAUAAGUUUAAAUUAACUGCAAUCCCAUAGGUCUUUGGGCGGUUGUUUCUCUAUAUACCUUACCGCUCAAAGGAAAUAAAUUGUAAAUAUUAAUUCUAUCCGCUUGUCCGCUUAGAUCCUUUGUGAAGAGACAAAGAGAGACCGUGUGGUCUGGGGACAAGCCUCUGUCCCGUUUUCCAGGGACUUUUGUCAUCUGAAAUCACUUCCAGGACAGACUUUCAAUUUGCUUUUCAGAAGGCUGAGUCUGAAGCCCGUACUACCUACCACACAAUAACUCUCACCUUCCUCCCCCAACCGACCCCUUUGAUUAUUAUUCUGGCUUCUUUGCCUUUCUCUUUAGACUCAACUCAGACCAUGCUGUAUGAGACACCAUUUUAAAAUCUGUACCAAGCUGUACCACAUCAAAAAAGAAAAAAAAAAAGCAAAUUAUAAUCUCCCUACUGUCAGAAAGAGAAUGACUCAAAUCAAGUCAAUGACCUUUCUUUUUCUCCCUCCCUCCCUCCCCCUCUCUCUUCCUUCCUCCCUCUCUCCCUCCCCCCACCCCACUUUUUGAGGCAAGGUCUCUCUACAUAGCCCUGGCCCCUGGCUGUCCUGAACUGACUCUAGACCGUGCCUGCCUCUGCCUCCCAGUGAUGGGACUGAAGGCAUGUACCACCACACCUGGCAGUUUCUCUUAAUUUAACUUGUCUUACUGAGUUCCAUUCUAUUUAAUCUGUUACAGUUUAAAGCUCAAGCUUCCUAUGCUAGCGACAAGGCAGACUUGUGAGACUUAGGUCCCCGAUCAUUAAGAAACGGAUUUCUGGGCUGUGUAAAAAGUCUUCAUCAUAGUAGGCUUGAGAAGUCUUUCUGGAAAUCAUUUAUUACCUUCCUUGUAAGUACCCAUGUAAUACACGGACAGAUGCUUUGACAAAAUUUCAAGCAACAAACAUUUAAUCAAUGAGUUUUUUUUUUGUGUACAAUGUUUGCAUAUGUGCAUGUGUGCCAUUUUGUAGCUUUUAGGGGGUGUCCCUCAGAGCUGUCCACUUCGCCUGUUGGAGCAGGGUCUCUCAUUGGCACCUGGUUUCCUUGUAGGCCUAGGGAUGCUUCUAGCACUAGGAGCCUGCUUGUUUUUGUUUUUAAUAAAGGUGUGCAAAUGGAACUCGGGUCUCUGUUCCUGUGUGGCAAACACUUUGUCCACUGAACUCUUUCUCAGCCCCUCAUCACACAUCAAAAACAGAUUCGUGCAUAUUUAUGUGAGUGUGUGAAUGGAUACUGCAGUUGUGCAAAUUCCCGCGGAGGUCUCUGCAAGAACAGCCAGUGCUCUUCACUGCCGAGCCAUCUCUCCAGCUCCAGCCACGGGGUUUUUAAAUAGUGGUUCGUGUGCGCCCCCUCUCUUCUGUCUCUCCUUUAUCACUGCAUGCCCAUCUCUCCAGAUUCACCCCUGUGCGCCCUCCCUCCCUCCUUCCGUCCUUCCCUGCCUCCCUUUUUCCCUCCUUUGCUCUCCCUUCCUUUCUCCCUUCCCCCUACUCCUUUCACUCUCAUUCUCUGACACCUCCAUCCCCACCCCCCGCAUCUCAAUCGCACAACGGAACUUUGAGCCACUCCACCGUCCACCCCGGGAGGAAACUGAUCUGUCCUUACUUCAUCCUCUGAAUCCACCUACUCCCCUCUGUGGCACACACACUACUGAACUUAGAUUUGUUUUUUAUUUCAAGCCACAAAAGCUAGUAGAUUUGACUCCUCUUUUUAGCUAACCAAACAAAAUUUAUGCCAGCAAAAACACGGAUCACUGUUAGGUUAAAAAUUGCAAGAUGAGCGGCUGGAGAGAAGGUUUAGGGUUAAGCACACUGGCUGCUUUUCCAGAGGCCCUAGUGAACCAGGAGAUCUGAUAAACUGUGCCGCUCUGCCGCCCUCUUCUGGCCUUGGUAGGCACUGCAUAUAUGUAUAAGAUCGGACAAACUGGUACACAAACCAUAAAAAUAAAUAUUAAAUAAAAAUAAAAGCACUAAGGACCGAGGAGAUGGUUCAGUCAGGAAACUGGAACAUAAGUGUGAGGACCCAAGUUCAGUCCCCAGAGCCUACGUAAAAAGGUUGGGUGUGGUGUCAUGGCGUUUGAUACUUGAGAGGUGGAGGAGGCAGCAGGAUACCCGGCGCUCCCGGGCCAAUCAGCACAGCCUACUCGUGCUCUCCAAACCAAAGAAAGAACGCCCGUCCAAAAUGAGGUACGUGGUACCUGCGGUUGACCUCAGCCCUAACACGUGCAGUUUCACAUGAAUGUGAGCUCACAUGCACACACGUACACAUACAACAAAACCUCCACGGGGACAGAGGCUCCUCCCGCCAUCCUGUUGGUAAAGCACCUGAUUGUCCCUUACAGGUGAAUCCGGCUUGGAUGAGCCCUAAUUACCAAGAGGGAAACUGCAAGUCCUCAAGGACAGUAACAGGCCUCACUUUAUCACAUCUCGUUGUGUAGCUCAGAGGAGCCUUGAACCUACAACCCCCUUGCCUCAGCCUCCCCCGUAUCUGAGGUCACAGGUGUGCACCCCGCUAAGCCCUUUUUUUCAGCUUCUGGAGUACACGUUUGUCUCCAUAGAAGAGUUCUAACAAAUCAAGUGUAUAUAAACAUAUCAAAACAUGAGAACACGUUCACACCUGUCUACAUUUGUCAUUUGUCAAGACGUUCAUCAGCGUCACAAGAUACUCCUCCUUCACGAACCUCUGUUAGCCCUGUGCAAAAGGACGGGAAGGGGUGGGCCAAAGGACGGGAAGGGGUGGGCCAAAGGAUGGGAAGGGGUGGACCAAAGGACGGGAAGGGGUGGGCCAAAGGACUCUGAUCAGCAGACAAAUUUCUAUUCUUUAUUUAGCCUAUUCAUUCUUCAGGAAGAAUUUAGCCUCUAUUUUUAGUUUUGUUGUUUUCCUAAAGUUUUUUUUUUUAAACUUAUUAUAUAUAAGUACACUGUAGCCGUCUUCAGACACACCAGAAGAGGGCAUUGGAUCCCAUUACAGAUGGUUGUGAGCCAUCAUGUGGUUGCUGAGAUUUGAACUCAGGACCUCUGGAAGAGCAGUCACUGCUCCUAACCACUGAGUCAUCUCUCCAGCCCCAUUUUCUAAAGUUUUUUUAAAAAACAUACUACAUUUAUUUAUAAUUAAUAAAUACAUUUAUUAAUAAUUACAUUCAUUUAUAAUUAUUUUAUUUACAUUUAUGUGUGCAUGUUCAUGUGUGUCUAUGACUGCACAUGGCACAUGUGUGGAGGUCAGAACAGUUUUUGGGAGUCAGUUCUUUCUACUCUCUGGGUUCUGGGGAUUAAAUUCAGAUCUUCAGAAUUCAGCAAGGACCCUUGAUGGUUUAAGCACCAGAAGGUGGGGAUCAUAUUUGUUUGGGAAUGUUCAUCUUGUAUCCUGGAUAGAAUUAUCCCCCACUCCCACAAUAAGGGAUUGUCCUGGCUGGUUUUCUGUCUACUUGACAUAAGCGAGUCAUCAGAGAGGAGGGAGUCUCAAUUGAGAGAGUGCCUCCGUAAAGUUAGGCUGUAGGCAAGCUUGUGGGGCAUUCUCUUAAUUACUGAUUGAUGUAGAUGUGCUUAGCUCAUUUCCUUGUGGGAGGCAAGCAGACCAAGCCAUGUGGAGCAAACAUUGAGCAGCAGCACUCCUCCAUGGUUUCUGCAUCGGCUCCUGUCUCCAGGUUUCUGCCCUGUUUGGAUCCCUGUCCUGACUUCCUUUGAUGGUUAGGAAUGUAAGCCUAACACACCCUUUCCUCUCCAAGUUGCUUAGGUCAAGAUGCUAGCAAUAACAACCCUAACUACAAUGAGUCAAAUGUUUUCCAACUGUAUCCAGAAAGAUACAGAGGACACAUAGACGUUUUUCUUACUGGAGAUCUCUUAAAGCCUCAUGUUCUGCAAUACGCUUUAAAUAAAAAAAUUAACCAACUAUAUUUUAAUCUUUUAAAAUUUCCUUUUUUUUUUUGCAUGUUUUCCGAAGCUUGAGUGUUAACCCAUGUUCUGUGUCUUUGUGGUCUACCACAGAAAACAGAGGGUCACCUUUCCAGCCUCUCUCACAGCUAGGACACAGGCAGUGUGGGAUGCUUUCUAUGGAGCCGGUGAUGGGUUUGAGUAUGGAAGCAUAGGCUCCACCUUAGAUAAGUGAGCAGGUGUUUCCCGGGGGUUCUAGACUACCACUGCAGGGGCUUUUGUGGUGUGUCACCCCAGUGUGGAAGCUUAAUCUAUGAGUGCUGUCUGCAGGGCGAGAGUCUACAGGGGCGACAUUCUCUUGAGCCAUUCUAUGCAAGGUAUUUUAAAAAAGUUUUGAAAAAAAUUGUUCUUCAUAAAGAUUGUCUAGGAAAAACAAAAACCAAAACGUCCACCUUUUCACUCAAAGUAGUUGUUUGUGUUGCCUAUAGCAGGUCUUGUUCCCUAAUUGGUUCUGGACUUGUCAAUAAAGAAGUCCAGGGCCAAUUGCUGGAUGGAAGGUACAGGUGGGACUUCCGGUCCAGGGGGAAAAGGAGCCGCAGGGAAAGAGGAAGAGGGCUUUUCUGCCAUGCUUUCGAGGACAGAGAAUGCUGCAAUCAUGUGAGGUCUCAGGCAGCUAUGGCCUCCGGCCUCUGCUACAGGUGGAUGGCCAAGGAGGUUGGUGGGAGCUAGCUGAUACAAGCCGGAAGUUUAGGACAGGAGGAGAAACGGAGAUAAUAAUCGAUGAGGGCAGGCCUUUCCAGGCAGGAGAUUCCAGUGCCCAGCAAUUGUAUCUAGCCGGCAAGUUCUAAAAUAAUAAAUCUGUGUGUUCUUUA
Molecule: non-coding RNA, 9956 nt
Organism: Rattus norvegicus (Norway rat)
Lineage: Eukaryota; Metazoa; Chordata; Mammalia; Rodentia; Muridae
Source: RefSeq, a predicted model, not a curated record